Brassica oleracea var. oleracea is the source of this 121-nucleotide ribosomal RNA. The record is from Rfam. NCBI's taxonomy places the organism in Eukaryota, Viridiplantae, Streptophyta, Magnoliopsida, Brassicales, Brassicaceae.
AGGUGCGAACGUACCAGCACCAGUGCACCGAAUCUCAUCAGAACAGCACGGAUAAUCGUGCUUGGGCGAGAAAAUAGUACUAGAAUGGAUGAUUUUUUGGAAAGUCUUUGUGUUGCACUCA